AUUGAACGCUGGCGGCAUGCUUUACACAUGCCAGUCGAACGGUAUCAGGCCGCAAGGUGCUGACGAGUGGCGAACGGGUGAGUAAUGCAUCGGAACGUGCCCAGUCGUGGGGGAUAACUACUCGAAAGAGUAGCUAAUACCGCAUACGAUCUAUGGAUGAAAGCGGGGGACCGUAAGGCCUCGCGCGAUUGGAGCGGCCGAUGUCAGAUUAGGUAGUUGGUGGGGUAAAGGCUCACCAAGCCAACGAUCUGUAGCUGGUCUGAGAGGACGACCAGCCACACUGGGACUGAGACACGGCCCAGACUCCUACGGGAGGCAGCAGUGGGGAAUUUUGGACAAUGGGCGCAAGCCUGAUCCAGCAAUGCCGCGUGCAGGAAGAAGGCCUUCGGGUUGUAAACUGCUUUUGUACGGAACGAAACGGCUCUGGUUAAUACCCGGGGCUAAUGACGGUACCGUAAGAAUAAGCACCGGCUAACUACGUG
RNAcentral lists this ribosomal RNA (482 nucleotides) under uncultured bacterium. Its description in RNAcentral is "partial 16S ribosomal RNA". It matches the Rfam family "Bacterial small subunit ribosomal RNA", at positions 30 to 507 of the family's 1533-position model. The record is from RNAcentral.